Molecule: transfer RNA, 74 nt
Filed under: Acidobacteriota bacterium
Lineage: Bacteria; Pseudomonadati; Acidobacteriota
Also listed under: 1 other name
Description: Acidobacteria bacterium tRNA-Met
Rfam family: tRNA
About the family: Transfer RNA (tRNA) molecules are approximately 80 nucleotides in length. Their secondary structure includes four short double-helical elements and three loops (D, anti-codon, and T loops). Further hydrogen bonds mediate the characteristic L-shaped molecular structure. tRNAs have two regions of fundamental functional importance: the anti-codon, which is responsible for specific mRNA codon recognition, and the 3' end, to which the tRNAs corresponding amino acid is attached (by aminoacyl-tRNA synthetases). tRNAs cope with the degeneracy of the genetic code in two manners: having more than one tRNA (with a specific anti-codon) for a particular amino acid; and 'wobble' base-pairing, i.e. permitting non-standard base-pairing at the 3rd anti-codon position.
Source: RNAcentral
CGCGGGGUGGAGCAGUCUGGUAGCUCGUUGGGCUCAUAACCCAAAGGUCGCUGGUUCAAAUCCAGCCCCCGCUA